Helianthus annuus (common sunflower) is the source of this 2411-nucleotide long non-coding RNA. RefSeq lists it as uncharacterized. The transcript has 10 exons. Lineage: Eukaryota; Viridiplantae; Streptophyta; Magnoliopsida; Asterales; Asteraceae. The record is from RefSeq and is a predicted model, not a curated record.
UAUGACAAAAUCUAUUAUCUAUAUUAAAACAAAACACUUUAGUGCCACUUGGCAUUAUUUUAAACCCAUUAUUGCCACCUGGCAACUUAAUAAUCCUCACAAUUGUGAUUUGAGCGGCAAUAAUCUAUACUCCUCACACGCCUCUUCCUUCCACAAUACGAUUCACAAACCCUAAUUCAUCAAUCGGCGCUCUUUCCUCCCUAGGUUUCUUCCUCUGCCAGUUUGUUUUUCAUUAAUCGCCGCUCGUUUCCUCCCAACAGUUCCUCCAUAACAACGAUCGUUACUUGAAUUCGUGUCGAUUUGUUCUCCUAUUCUGCUGUUUGGCAUCCAGAGAAGAUGGCUAAAACCCUCUUGGAAUCGGUCAGUCAUAACUAGAGUUCUUCAUCGAAUUCUAAGCAAAGAAACGCAGAUCUUUAUGUCCACCGUAUCGUGACUCUUUUUUUAGAAUUAAAUUCUACUAAAUUAAGUAGGUGGUGGAUGGCACACAUACUAUUAAUUUUGGGUGUAGUAUAUAGCCAAUGGGUCGAUCCGAGGAAGCAGAGCUGAACGAAUUGAUGGCUGCCAUUCGGAAUCUAUCACUCCAAUAUGCUAUUUUGAAGUGCAUCAAGAUAAUGGAUAGGGGCUUGGAGCAUGUAAUCGUCAAAUGCUCUAUGCUCUGGUCUAAAGAGCCUAAAUUUUUAAGCACUAAGCUCGGAUGGCGCCUUUUCGGUUAAAUCCAUUCGAGCUCUCCUUGCUUGGCAGGGGCUACAAGUGGAUGCGAAUCCCUUUAUGUGGAACUAACUCUUACCCAAAAAGGUAAUAUUUUUGGGUGGCGUCUUAAUAAGAAGCGCUUACAGACUCGAAUGACACUAAUUGGCAGGGGAAUUAAUGUUAAUUCUUCUAUAUGCCCUCUUUGCAACGACGAGUAAGAGACAACAUAACACUUAUUCAUUUCAUGCUAUGUAGCUUGGUGCUCCAUUCCAAAUGUGUUUGCCUUCCAGAUUUCAGAUUUGCUGAAGUAUCAUGAGGUGGCAGUGGAAUUAGAAACAGAGCAAAUAAUGUUGUAGUCGGUCAUCUUAACGGCAUGCUAAGUGCUAUGGAAAUUAAGAAAUGAGGUCAUGUUUACAUCAGAGAAGAGAAGAUGGAGAUCGGCAACCUGCUGGAUGAAAUAAAAAACUUUGGCUUUCUUUGGGUAAAAAACUCUCAAAGUCGGCAUCAUUGGAGUGGACUCAAUGGAGUAAAUUUGUGUUUCUGUAGUUAAUUGUAAUGGUAUAUGUGGUUGGUGGGUCAUGCCCAAGAUGUAAUUGUGUUUGGUGGUUAAUAAAGUUGACUCAAAAAAAUAAAAAAUAAUAAUCAAUCAUUGUAAAUGGAAUAUGCUUUACUUUGGAGUUCACAUCAGACAUUCAUUAUGUUUUGUAGUGUUCGUCGCUGAUGGAAUUGCCUUUGUUUUGUAGUGUUCGCCGUUGAUGGAGCUUUUAGGUUCAACCCUUUGUUCUCACCCGUUAAUUCAGGUUUACCAAGAUGCCUGUGGUCCUUGGUCCAAAGUGCAUCUACUGAACAUAAUCAAUGGCGUAAUUGGCAGCUUAUUUCAUUCAACAUUGCAUGCAGCAGGUCAGCCGUCAGUCGCGGUCGUCACUCAAGCCUCAACAAUCACAACCAACAGUUGACCCUUCCGUUAGUCAAGCACUCGAGCAGACGUGUUGGAUGAUCAAUAUGUACAAUUACAGUUGAGCCGUUCUUCUACGAAGAGCCACAUGUUGGUCAAACAUACCCCUCAUUAAACGGUGUUUUUAACUAAGUUAGUCAUUUGGAUGAAAACGGCAAAAAAUGCCAAACGUGGGGGGCAAAAUGGUACAAAAAGGUCAUUUUGGACGAAAAUGGCAAACGUGUCCAAACCUCAGUUGCCUGUUUAUAGGAAUUUAAGAAACACGAUGGAAGGAUCACCUGACGCUAAUCACGCUAUUAGACGUGUUGCUUCAUUGCCCGUCUUGCUAUGUCAUGGAGUCGGUGAAAGGAACAAAGGAGAUGGCCACACCUUCUUAGAAAAUUAGAUGAAAUCUAUAUACCCUUGAAAAUUGUUGGUACCUUUGCUCCUUUUAAUGUUCAUCUUAUCCGCGCUUUGCGAGGCGUGUUUUAUGUCAGUACCGGUUCGGUUCGUUACUUUAUCGGUACGAUGCCGACACUCAGUAUAGCAACUGACCAUCAGUUGAAAACCAUAAAAAUGCAUGUCGAUACUGGGUUUUUAGGGAUUUUUAAUAGCUUUGGUUUGAAGAAACAGAAUGCUCUUCAUUUAUUACAGGAAUAAGUGAAACCACAACAAUAGAUAGGGGUUGUGAAUGUAUGUUUAUUGCGUGUAGUUAUCAUACAUUAUGUUUUAACUUGGAAAGGCCUAUAAAAAAAUAAUGACCUACAUGGGGUUCAAUGCCGGUAGA